Cebus imitator (Panamanian white-faced capuchin) is the source of this 1914-nucleotide RNA transcript. It is a transcript of the gene named voltage-dependent calcium channel subunit alpha-2/delta-3-like, with no coding region annotated. The transcript is spliced from 3 exons. Lineage: Eukaryota; Metazoa; Chordata; Mammalia; Primates; Cebidae. The record is from RefSeq and is a predicted model, not a curated record.
GCCGCAGCGGGCGCGUCGGAGGGAGCCCAGCAUGGCCGGGCCGGGCUCGCAGCGCCGCGCGUCCCGGGGGGCCUCGGCGCUCCUCGCCGCUGCGCUUCUCUACGCCGCGCUGGGCGACGUGGUGCGCUCGGAGCAGCAGAUACCGCUCUCCGUGGUGAAGCUCUGGGCCUCAGCUUUUGGUGGGGAGAUAAAAUCCAUAGCUGCUAAGUACUCCGGCUCCCAGCUUCUGCAAAAGGGAGGAACCUGAGAGCAUCUCCAGAGAGAAUGUUACUGCCUUGGUCGCUGGCAGAAGCAUGGGAAAACCACCUGACCUUGAUGAUUUUAUCCAUCCAUUCAUUCAGCAAACAUUUUUGCAUCUUGGUACUCUGUCCAGAUAUCAUGCCCACUCAGAUUAUAAGGACAAGCAAAGUAAGAUUGCACCCUCAUGGAGAUUACAAUCUAAUGUGAGAAUUGGUCAUAUCUCAAAGAAUUAAACUAAUGCAUGCAAGUCUCCUUGCAAUGCCAUGAAAGAAGGAAUGCUGAUAGCUCAUGACCUGAGGACCUGCUCUGGUCUGGGGUCAGAGGAGGCUUGCCAAGAGCAUGGCAUGAUCCUCUACUGUGACCAGAAGGAUGAGGAAUUAAUAUGACAGAAAGGUGGAAGAUGGGUAUCUGGACCCUUUGUGAUGCUUUCUUUCCUGUCCUGGCCCACCCUCACCCUGACUGCUCCUCCUCAUGUGAGUUCUGGGACUUAUCGUGUACAUUCUUCUUGGCCUUUCAUUCUCUUGCUUCUUCUGCCCCAAACUCCCUCCCUUGUCCCUAUAGCAGCUUGUUGAAUUCUCAGUCUUCCUGGCCUGAUUCUUUAGUUCAGCAAAGAGCUUUUCAGCUCCUGCUAUGCCAGGGGCUCAGUGCUGGGCUCUCAGUUGCUACUGCCUUCAGGAAGCCUUUUCCAACCUCCUCCGCGUUGUACGUCACUUUAUUCAUUAUAGGUGACCUUGAUUUGUAGUUACUGUCGUACUAUUGUUGGGCCCUUUCCUCAGCUCCACAAGUGUUGGGAGGCUCUUUUCCCAUCUUCGUUUUCUUUGUGUCUCCUUAGGGUAAAGCCUGAUGAUGGCAGAGGUGGUGAUGAUGAUGAUGAUACACUACUACUUGUUGAACAUUUAACAUAAGACCUAACAGCAUUCAGGAUUCCUAAGACAUACUACUUCACUAAAUCCUCACAACCCUGUGAGCAAGCUACGGUAUUACCAUCCAUAUUUAACUGAUGAAGAAGCUGAGGCAUGGAAUAUGUUAAUGAACUUUCCCAAAGCUACUUGGCUAGGAAGCGAUAGAGCCAGGAUUCCAUGCUGAGCAUUUUGACUCCAACCACUGUACUAUACUUCCUUUCUUUCAUGGCCUGCCUUUGUGGAGUUGUAUCUGUGAAAAUGGUCGUGCUAGUUAGUGACAGGUAUGAGAUAUCUCUCUCCCUGAGCCUGCACAAGUACAACAACCCCGAGUGAUAAGGAGUCACUAGCUAACGCUGGUCCUCCAAGUACAGUGAAAGCAGGCUGUGAGUAGGUUUCUUUGCUCCAGAAUAGGUUCCCAUCACAGGAACUAGGUAGCAAGGCUGAGGCACCCACUGGUUAUGCCAGCAACAACUGCUUGGUUCUGGCCAAAGUCUUUUGUCCUAGUUGCUUUUCUUCCCAGGAUUGAAGAAGCCUAGGAAUUGUCAUACAUGUGGCUUCCUCUCAACAGAAAUGCUGAGUUCAUUUUUCCAAGUGUGGAUUCUUUGUGUGAUGGCACGAGCUUCAGAAGUGCCAGAGACAAGAAUUUCCUUGUGUUCAUGUAUAAAUGCUGGGUGACCGCUGGGAAUAAAUAAUAACUAUGAUCAAUGUGGAGCUUUUAAAAUUAUAAAGCAUUGCCAAUUCACUAUGGAAAAUUUUGGAAAUAUAGAUAAGU